AUCGGGCAGGCCUACACAUGCAAGUCGAGGGGUAGAGGGUGCUUGCACCCUUGAGACCGGCGCACGGGUGCGUAACGCGUAUGCAACCUACCUAUUGCAGGGGAAUAGCCCAGGGAAACUUGGAUUAAUGCCCCAUAGUCCAUAUUGAGAGCAUUUGAGAUAUGGUAAAGAUUUAUCGGCAAUAGAUGGGCAUGCGUCCCAUUAGCUAGUUGGUAUGGUAACGGCAUACCAAGGCUACGAUGGGUAGGGGCCCUGAGAGGGGGAUCCCCCACACUGGUACUGAGACACGGACCAGACUCCUACGGGAGGCAGCAGUGAGGAAUAUUGGACAAUGGGCGGGAGCCUGAUCCAGCCAUGCCGCGUGCAGGAAGACUGCCCUAUGGGUUGUAAACUGCUUUUUUACGGGAAGAAACACCCCCACGUGUGGGGGCUUGACGGUACCGUACGAAUAAGGACCGGCUAACUCCGUGCCAGCAGCCGCGGUAAUACGGAGGGUCCGAGCGUUAUCCGGAAUCAUUGGGUUUAAAGGGUCCGUAGGCGGGCGUCUAAGUCAGUGGUGAAAUCUCGCGGCUCAACCGUGAAAUUGCCAUUGAUACUGGUCGCCUUGAAUUAGUGUGAAGUGGCUAGAAUAUGUAGUGUAGCGGUGAAAUGCUUAAAUAUUACAUAGAAUACCGAUUGCGAAGGCAGGUCACUAACACUAUAUUGACGCUGAUGGACGAAAGCGUGGGGAGCGAACAGGAUUAAAUACCCUGGUAA
Molecule: ribosomal RNA, 756 nt
Filed under: Aequorivita vladivostokensis
Lineage: Bacteria; Pseudomonadati; Bacteroidota; Flavobacteriia; Flavobacteriales; Flavobacteriaceae
Description: bacterial SSU rRNA
Rfam family: Bacterial small subunit ribosomal RNA
Source: RNAcentral